UUUUUUUUUUUUUUUGCAACUUCCCGGCAGGCACUGCAGAGUGGAGCGCGGCCUGGCAGCGGUGUGAGUUGCAGUUCGUUUUCUCCAGCGGCCGGUUGUGAAUCUAUUCCCAUCAGCGCCACGGAUAAGAUCGGAAAGGCGAUACGAUGAACAAGUGGAAGGCUGGAUCGCGUGUCACUGUCGUGCAAGGAAGCCGCGUUGGGGAACUUCAGCGCCGGACACAAGCAAUUUUUCAUGCAAGGGGAUCGUGCGUGUUCGACUCCUGCGGGUGAAGCGGUGAUCAUGGCUGAGCGCGAUCGUUAGCAGGAGAAGGCGUUUUUCUGGCAGCCGCAUUUUCCGCAGUUGGGAUCCGGAAGGUGGGACACAACCAUUUACCUUUUGACUUUCCCUGUUGAAGUACCUCGAGGUAUCAUCUUUGUUCCUUUGAGAUGUGGCCUCCAAUAUUGGAUCCAAAAAUACCUGAAUUUCUUCAGCCUAAGAAAGUGGUGUGUUCUAUAAAGGUGUUGAGAUUUUGAAGUUCAAGAGGACUCUGGAUCUGAGAACAGCCAUCCAAAUGUUCCAUCAUCGUAGCAAACGUUCAGGCGCAAUGCACAGUUAGCAAACGUGGAGGCAGAAAUGGCAUGGAGGGAUCAAACAGCUCUGCAGAAGCUGGUACGAGCACAGCAAAGAACUGGCAUGAUGUGGUUCAAGAUGAACAGAAAUAAUCUCAACGAAGUGUUCCAAGAAGAGUCAGUCCCUGAGAUGGGGCAGAUUCCAUCCAUGUCUGUUUUUAAAAAAAUAAUAAAUAAUAGACAACCAGUCUCCUUCCACUCAUGUACUUUCACAUCCACAUGUCUUGCUUGCCUACAUAGCAUCUGUAUUCAAGUGCUUAUCUUCGGUUACAAUUUAAGAGUUUCUUUUCUGUUCAGAGAUGUGUGGGGUUUUUUGUAAGUACGCACAUAUACUCUGUGUAUUUUUGUUUUAUCCUUUGCCAUUGGACUAUUGAAUUUGUUUACUUAUGGUGUGUUGGUCUGUGAGCACUAAAUAUAGAAUAAAGGAAAUUAACUAUG
This is a long non-coding RNA of Heteronotia binoei (common prickly gecko), 1049 nucleotides long. RefSeq lists it as uncharacterized. The record is from RefSeq and is a predicted model, not a curated record. The transcript is spliced from 4 exons. Lineage: Eukaryota; Metazoa; Chordata; Lepidosauria; Squamata; Gekkonidae.